This is a long non-coding RNA of Mirounga angustirostris (Northern elephant seal), 605 nucleotides long. RefSeq lists it as uncharacterized. Lineage: Eukaryota; Metazoa; Chordata; Mammalia; Carnivora; Phocidae. The transcript is spliced from 3 exons. The record is from RefSeq and is a predicted model, not a curated record.
CGGAGACGAUUAGCGCUGAGGCGCAGCGGGCUCCCGCCCAGAGGCCCGGAAUAGGCGCCGAGUUAUAAAUAGUGCGCCCGCAGGUGUGGGGGGAGCCGGCGGGAGGGGCAACCCUGGCAGCCACGGCCCCUUCAGGCCCCCAGACCCACUCACUCAGGACCCCGCCCAGAGAGAGCCUUGCCUUUCUUCCGCCAGAAGCCCUCUCCCUCCACGCUCUGCGGGCGUCUAAGUCUUCUGCAGCUGCCCCUGAGCGCACGUGGCCCAGCCAGUCCCGGCGCGGGGCUGUCACUCCGAGUCGCCGUCCCCAGCCCCAGGCUAGCGCGACCCCGACGGCUGUAGAAGGAAGGGGAAAACCCUGGCCUGGACCCCACCGGCUCCGGGCCCUCACCGACCAGACUCUGUCCGGCGGGGCCGAGAAGAAAACCCGGAGCAGUGACCGGCCUCGGGGCCCAAGGGGGACAGGGACGAUAGGAAAACCCGGAGCGGAUUCAGCGAGCGGGAGCGCCCCAGGCCUGCUGCCACCCCCUCCUUCCUACAGCCCCCCUAAUUCUCCAGUGAGAUAAUGUCUGAGGUGGGGGUCUGUUUGGCUUGGCCUGGGCCCUCAG